RNAcentral lists this ribosomal RNA (440 nucleotides) under uncultured bacterium. RNAcentral's name for it is "partial 16S ribosomal RNA". It matches the Rfam family "Bacterial small subunit ribosomal RNA", at positions 338 to 795 of the family's 1533-position model. The record is from RNAcentral.
CCUACGGGAGGCAGCAGUGGGGGAUAUUGCACAAUGGGGGAAACCCUGAUGCAGCGACGCCGCGUGAGUGAAGAAGUAUUUCGGUAUGUAAAGCUCUAUCAGCAGGGAAGAAAAUGACAGUACCUGACCAAGAAGCCCCGGCUAACUACGUGCCAGCAGCCGCGGUAAUACGUAGGGGGCAAGCGUUAUCCGGAUUUACUGGGUGUAAAGGGAGCGUAGACGGCUGUGUAAGUCUGGAGUGAAAGCCCGGGGCCCAACCCCGGGACUGCUUUGGAAACUGUGAAACUGGAGUGCAGGAGGGGCAGGCGGAAUUGCUGGUGUAGCGGUGAAAUGCGUAGAUAUCAGGAGGAACACCGGCGGCGAAGGCGGCCUGCUGGACUGAAACUGACGUUGAGGCUCGAAGGCGUGGGGAGCAAACAGGAUUAGAUACCCGGGUAGUC